AAUACAAUCAACAGGGGAUGAAAAUCAAUCUAAUAGAAGUUCUAAGGAUGGAUUCAUUGAUAAGGGUAACUCUAGUGUUCAUCAAAUGGCUAAUAGGCGAAAGGUAGAUUUUCAUGACGAUAGAUUCAAAAACUGGGUCAAUCCACUCUCGUGACAGAGACCCCCAUAACUCUACCACUUCCUAAUCUCAACUCUUGUUGAUGAAACAUAGCAGAGCAGGGUUUAAGAAAAAAUCUACCAAAGCCAAUAGGCAGACAAACCAAUCCCUUGGCCGAGUCUACAUAUCUCUAGAAUUCGUAAGUCAGACAUCCACUUGAACGUCUUUUGGACGCUGGACGUCUUUGAUCGAAUCUCCACAUUAGCCAGCGAAAACCGCAUAGGGGCCAAGCGAAUCCAGAAGGGUAUAAACCUAAACACUAACCACCUAACUAACCAAGAGAUUACCCUAAUCUAAUCCGUCCUCAAGAACCCUAAUCACUACUCAAGCAACAUUCUCAAGAACACAAACCCAGAAAUUACUAAAAUCAUACCAAAAUGUAGAUCUAAACAAGCUAAACAACUUUACUUAAACAAUCAAAUGCAAAAACGAAAUAGAUUAAGAGUAAUUAAAGUUUCAAAAUUCAUAAACACAAAGAAAAACUGAAAGAUAAAGCAUAAAUCCUUUGGACAAACCCCAAAUGAUCUAUUUAUACUAAAAUGUUGGAAACCCUAGAUUCACUAGAAGACAAGAGACUUGAGGCGGUUUGGGCGAAUACUCGACCUUGGGGAUCGAGUAAAGAGGGUGCUGCAAAGUCUGCGCCUUUGUGUCUAUGCUCCGACUGAUCAAUUGGUCGAGUAGAUGCUUCGUCCUCUCCUAUUCGUAUGCUCAGAUGUCUGGUUGAGUGGGGAAUGAGGAGGAUCCGAAGACGCUUUGAUAGCUCAACAAGUCUUGUAGAGAUGCUUCAUCAUUUCGUCUGCUUGUUUUUGUGGUAUAGGUACUAAUCUUUGUGCAUGCAAACUCGAUCCAAAGGUUCUACACACCUACUACUUUUCAAAGACAGAAUAGACAGAAUAGCUCAUGAAUUACAAGAAACCAAAGCAAAGGCACCCUGUGAUCAGCAAAAACCAGCUCCUAUGGAUCAACAGAAACAGACCAGUUGAUGUUCAAGACCCACCUAAUGUUGAUCAACCAAGAAACAUUGGUGCUGGUGAUGCCCCAAGGAAUCAUCACCAAAGACAAG
Molecule: small RNA, 1220 nt
Filed under: Arabidopsis thaliana (thale cress)
Lineage: Eukaryota; Viridiplantae; Streptophyta; Magnoliopsida; Brassicales; Brassicaceae
Description: ATSL205870
Source: RNAcentral